Mauremys reevesii (Reeves's turtle) is the source of this 2962-nucleotide long non-coding RNA. RefSeq lists it as uncharacterized. NCBI's taxonomy places the organism in Eukaryota, Metazoa, Chordata, Testudines, Geoemydidae. The transcript is spliced from 4 exons. The record is from RefSeq and is a predicted model, not a curated record.
GGAACCCAGGCACCAGGGGCGCAGGGGGACUGCCAAAGGAAAGGGAAGCAUGGGGACAAGUGGAGAUUGUUACUCAACAAUCCUUGCUUUCCUUUGGGGUUUCACUCUGGGCUUUCGAAGUAGCUUCUAUGACACCUGCACAGCUUCUGGGCAAACAGCAAAGGCCACGGUGGUCCCACACUAACGUGCUCCCCAAGAUUUCUGCGGUGGAUAUUUUGGGUUAGGCUUAAAGAACUCAACAGGUUAACAUAGCAACAACUCCCUUCCCAGGGAAUCUGAACACGAUAGGGCCAGAGUGGUUGGCGAGGAAGAUACAGGAAUAGGCAAUGUUAAAAAAAAACAAAAAAACAGUGGAACCCGACUCAUUCAAUGCAUAGGAUGGACAGUGCUCACUGAACAAGCAGCUAUUGAUUGUUUCUUCUUAUCCUUGUUAUUCAGUGUGUGGCCCUUGGUCUUAAUUCUGUACACCGUUUAAACCUGGUGGAAAUUCUUGGGCGACCAUAACUAAAGGCAUCGCUACUUAUAAUAUAGAUAGACCAUUUCAUGCAAGACACGUGCAAGAAUAAUUUCUGGCAGAGUGAUUCCACUGAAUCAAAGAGACUGGAAUAAAAGAAAGCAAAAAAGUUUUAGGCAUGGGACAUCACCCCUUUGGUUUAUACUGGAAUAGCCUACUGAAAUAUAACAGAUUAGUUAGCAAACCCACCAUCCUGGUCUCACCUGUUCCACUCUCGGACUCAUCAGCAUCCAUAGCGGUGUCAACAUCCGUAAUCUGAAUAUCAGGCAGAGCGGACCAUCUACUGACCCCUGUGCACCCAGGUUGCAGCCAGAGUGCCAAGAGGAGGAGGAAGGAGGAGGCCGGAUCCGCUGGUUGUCAUCCUGCAUCUGCAGCCGGAUGGGCCUGCGCAAGCCCCAGGAGAUGUUCAGCAAACCCUCGACGAUAAACUCGCCUUCCUCCUGGGCAGCAAACACAAAGACACACGUCAACAUCUCAGAGCGACGAGAAAAUUGAGGCAGACAGACAGACUACAGCCAAAAAUUUCCCAAAACACUUGUCCAGUGAUUUGGGGGCACCUCAACCUAAGGCACAUGCAGAGAUUUGGGCCCGGUCUACACAAGUUUUGUUCCAGGGGGACUAGGGAUGACUGGCUGCAGUAAUCCAUCCUCACAAUCUUCUUUCAUUAGGAGCAGAGAUCUGAUUUGUGGAGGGGGAAGAUACAAGAGAAAUUUGCAUUAAUCACUGCAUCAUUUUCAUCUUAAUAUGUAAAGACUGGGCCGGAUCCAAAGCCCAGUCGACUCAGCGGGAGUUUUUCCACUGACUUCAGAGCUUUGAAUCCAUCUGUCAGCCACAUCAGACAGCAAAACAGAAAGUUCCAAUUCAAAUGAUGGACCUAAAAGCGGAAAUGUGAAAAGUCAGGUGAGGGGAAAGUAACGAGAAUCACUGCAAGUGCACAACAGUAAGCCGACCUAGGGAGACACAAUUAAUAGAAUACUUUGUAUUUCUAUUGUACCCUUCCAGAUAGGAAGGUAUUGAGCCCACGAGGUGGAUAUUAUACCCGUUUUACAGAUGAGGAGAUGAAGACACUGCACUUGGACUCUAGUGUUCUGGUUUCAAGCCCCAGCUCUACUGCAAACUCCUCGUGUGAGCUCAAGCAAUUCACUUACUCUCUGUGCCUCAGUUUCUCAUUGUGAAUGAGGAGAAUUAUCCUCUCUCUCUCAUCUAUUCAGGUUCUAAGCACUUCUGGGCUGUUCUUACUUUAUGUACGGCACCUGGAACGCUGGGGACUUUAAGUGCGAUCAUAAAAACAAACACUCACUGACUUGCUGCAAGUCGCACAGCGAGCCUUUUGGCAGAGGCAGAAAUAGAACCCAGGAGUCCUGAUCUCUCACCUUCUGCUGAUGGAUACUUGUUGAAGGUUAGGGCAAUGACCAUUUUAUUGUGCUGUGUUUGUACAGUGCCUAGCACAACAGAGUCCUGGUUCAUGACCAGAGCGCUCCUAGGUGUUACUGUAUUAAUAAUGAUAAUCAUGUUUAACCCACACAUCCAACGGUUCGAAGGGACAUCUCUUAAGUCUAACAGGCUCUGAUCAGUUACCCGGAGCUGCCAGUUACUUUCUGGGCUGGAAAUGCUAGGGGCACCUCUGAAGGUAUGUUGAAACUUCCACUCCCUGGAUUCCCACAGGUGCAAAUAGGAUGGGGGUGGCGGGAAAGAGAACUAUUUAUCAUUCGGAUCAGAUUCCAGUUUGGGUCAGUUGUUACCCACCCCUGCUCACAGUAAGGUUCCCCUCCAUCCUACCACUCGUUAUCAGGAUGAAACUUAGGAUACCUAUUAUUGUUUUGAGAAUGGCUACAACAGACACGAAAACCUCCAUCCAGUUCAGUGGUGUUUCUAAAGGAAGACUGGUGGCCAGGCAACCUUGGAUUCUACAGAUAGGAAGAAAGUUUGGAACAUGCUUUUUGACUCCACUGUAUCAGGAGAGGUGUUUUGGUUGAACCCAGUAGGGAAAAUGAUAAAUAACCAGCUUAAAAAAACAAAUACAAAGACAGCUGGCCUGAACACAAGACUCUCCUUUGACCAAUCACCAGCAGCCUGAGGUGACAUGCAUUCCCCCCCACCCCCAGAUGUAUCGACACCAAAAAUCCCCAGCCAUCAUAUUUGAACCUGCUUCUAAGGAGAAGCUUGUUUGAAUUCCCCAGUGGAAAGUCACACUGUCUUUGAUCAGCUGGGGCCCCAGUCGAGCUGUUGUGAACAUUUCACACAAAACACUCGACCACUUGAACAUUUUGGGUCCUGCCUUUCGUUUCAGUUGCAAGGGAAUAACACCAUUUCACACACAAAGAACCGCCUAUUUCCCCCAUAUACACUUGGGGGGGAAAAAAUCAUGUUUUGUUUUCAGCCUGAUUUCACUCCCCUAAAAAAAAAAAAAAAAAAAAACCUACAUUUUAUAAACUUUCAACUUUCAGA